ACAUCCAGAGAAUUUAGCAGAGAUGCUUUAGUGGCCUUUCGGGAACUCUGAGACAGGUGCUGCAUGGCUGUCGUCAGCUCGUGUUGUGAAAUGUUGGGUUAAGUCCCGNAACGAGCGCAACCCUUAUCCUUUGUUGCCAGCACGUAAUGGUGGGAACUCAAAGGAGACUGCCGGUGAUAAACCGGAGGAAGGUGGGGAUGACGUCAAGUCAUCAUGGCCCUUACGAGUAGGGCUACACACGUGCUACAAUGGCGCAUACAAAGAGAAGCGACCUCGCGAGAGCAAGCGGACCUCAUAAAGUGCGUCGUAGUCCGGAUUGGAGUCUGCAACUCGACUCCAUGAAGUCGGAAUCGCUAGUAAUCGUAAAUCAGAAUGUUUACGGUGAAUACGUUCCCGGGCCUUGUACACACCGCCCGUCACACCAUGGGAGUGGGUUGCAAAAGAAGUAGAUAGCUUAACCUUCGGGAGGGCGUUUACCACUUUGUGAUUCAUGACUGGGGUGAAGUCGUAACAAGGUAGGCGUAGUGCU
This 529-nucleotide ribosomal RNA is filed under the name uncultured bacterium. RNAcentral describes it as "bacterial SSU rRNA". It matches the Rfam family "Bacterial small subunit ribosomal RNA", at positions 984 to 1509 of the family's 1533-position model. The record is from RNAcentral.